Molecule: non-coding RNA, 106 nt
Filed under: Clostridium collagenovorans
Lineage: Bacteria; Bacillati; Bacillota; Clostridia; Eubacteriales; Clostridiaceae
Also listed under: 1 other name
Description: TPP sequence
Rfam family: TPP riboswitch aptamer (THI element)
About the family: Vitamin B(1) in its active form thiamin pyrophosphate (TPP) is an essential coenzyme that is synthesised by coupling of pyrimidine and thiazole moieties in bacteria.
Source: RNAcentral
AAUAAAUGCUAGGGGUACCUUAAAUAAGAGGUUGAGAGGAUAAAUUAUCUAACCCUAUGAACCUGAUUUGGUUAAUACCAACGUAGGGAAGCACUUAAUAUAUCUA